RNAcentral lists this ribosomal RNA (253 nucleotides) under uncultured bacterium. RNAcentral's name for it is "partial 16S ribosomal RNA". It matches the Rfam family "Bacterial small subunit ribosomal RNA", at positions 524 to 776 of the family's 1533-position model. The record is from RNAcentral.
UACGUAGGGUGCAAGCGUUGUCCGGAAUUAUUGGGCGUAAAGAGCUCGUAGGCGGCCUGUCGCGUCGACCGUGAAAACCCGCAGCUCAACUGCGGGCUUGCGGUCGAUACGGGCAGGCUGGAGUUCGGUAGGGGAGACUGGAAUUCCUGGUGUAGCGGUGAAAUGCGCAGAUAUCAGGAGGAACACCGGUGGCGAAGGCGGGGACUCUGGGCCGAUACUGACGUGAGGAGCGAAAGCGUGGGGAGCAAACAGG